UGGGGAAUUUGGACAAUGGGGGAAACCCUGAUCCAGCCAUCCCGCGUGUGCGAUGAAGGCCUUCGGGUUGUAAAGCACUUUUGGCAGGAAAGAAACGUCGUGGGUUAAUACCCCGCGAAACUGACGGUACCUGCAGAAUAAGCACCGGCUAACUACGUGCCAGCAGCCGCGGUAAUACGUAGGGUGCAAGCGUUAAUCGGAAUUACUGGGCGUAAAGCGUGCGCAGGCGGUUCGGAAAGAAAGAUGUGAAAUCCCAGAGCUUAACUUUGGAACUGCAUUUUUAACUACCGGGCUAGAGUGUGUCAGAGGGAGGUGGAAUUCCGCGUGUAGCAGUGAAAUGCGUAGAUAUGCGGAGGAACACCGAUGGCGAAGGCAGCCUCCUGGGAUAACACUGACGCUCAUGCACGAAAGCGUGGGGAGCAAACAGGAUUAGAUACCCUGGUAGUCCACGCCCUAAACGAUGUCAACUAGCUGUUGGGGUCUUCGGACCUUGGUAGCGCAGCUAACGCGUGAAGUUGACCGCCUGGGGAGUACGGUCGCAAGAUUAAAACUUAAAUGAAUUG
RNAcentral lists this ribosomal RNA (563 nucleotides) under uncultured bacterium. RNAcentral's name for it is "partial 16S ribosomal RNA". It matches the Rfam family "Bacterial small subunit ribosomal RNA", at positions 356 to 912 of the family's 1533-position model. The record is from RNAcentral.